Molecule: ribosomal RNA, 253 nt
Filed under: uncultured bacterium
Lineage: Bacteria
Description: partial 16S ribosomal RNA
Rfam family: Bacterial small subunit ribosomal RNA
Source: RNAcentral
UACGAAGGGGGCUAGCGUUGCUCGGAAUUACUGGGCGUAAAGGGAGCGUAAGCGGAUCGUUUAGUCAGGGGUGAAAUCCCGGGGCUCAACCUCGGAACUGCCUUUGAUACUGGCGAUCUUGAGUAUGGGAGAGGUGUGUGGAACUCCGAGUGUAGAGGUGAAAUUCGUAGAUAUUCGGAAGAACACCAGUGGCGAAGGCGACACACUGGCCCAUUACUGACGCUGAGGCUCGAAAGCGUGGGGAGCAAACAGG